GUGGCUCAGUGGUAGAGUGCUUGCCUUGCAUGCAAGAGGUCCUGAGUUUGAUUUCUCAGC
This 60-nucleotide transfer RNA is filed under the name Dipodomys ordii (Ord's kangaroo rat). It matches the Rfam family "tRNA", at positions 7 to 64 of the family's 71-position model. From Rfam's summary of the family: Transfer RNA (tRNA) molecules are approximately 80 nucleotides in length. Their secondary structure includes four short double-helical elements and three loops (D, anti-codon, and T loops). Lineage: Eukaryota; Metazoa; Chordata; Mammalia; Rodentia; Heteromyidae. The record is from Rfam by way of RNAcentral.